Molecule: ribosomal RNA, 465 nt
Filed under: Vreelandella stevensii
Lineage: Bacteria; Pseudomonadati; Pseudomonadota; Gammaproteobacteria; Oceanospirillales; Halomonadaceae
Description: partial 16S ribosomal RNA
Rfam family: Bacterial small subunit ribosomal RNA
Source: RNAcentral
CCUACGGGGGGCAGCAGUGGGGAAUAUUGGACAAUGGGCGAAAGCCUGAUCCAGCCAUGCCGCGUGUGUGAAGAAGGCCUUCGGGUUGUAAAGCACUUUCAGUGGGGAAGAAAGCCUUGGGGCUAAUACCCUCGAGGAAGGACAUCACCCACAGAAGAAGCACCGGCUAACUCCGUGCCAGCAGCCGCGGUAAUACGGAGGGUGCGAGCGUUAAUCGGAAUUACUGGGCGUAAAGCGCGCGUAGGCGGUCUGAUAAGCCGGUUGUGAAAGCCCCGGGCUCAACCUGGGAACGGCAUCCGGAACUGUCAGGCUAGAGUGCAGGAGAGGAAGGUAGAAUUCCCGGUGUAGCGGUGAAAUGCGUAGAGAUCGGGAGGAAUACCAGUGGCGAAGGCGGCCUUCUGGACUGACACUGACGCUGAGGUGCGAAAGCGUGGGUAGCAAACAGGUUUAGAUACCCGGGUAGUC